Non-coding RNA from Arachis ipaensis, 415 nucleotides. The record is from RefSeq and is a predicted model, not a curated record. NCBI's taxonomy places the organism in Eukaryota, Viridiplantae, Streptophyta, Magnoliopsida, Fabales, Fabaceae.
UGACCAGCUGCCAGGAUAAUUAUGUCUGUAACGUAUGGUUUGGUGUAUGAAGCAUCGGCGGCAACCACCGUGAGUUUGUGAUCGGCUAUCUUGAAGAACAGAUUGUUAUUCAGUGCAGCGUUGAUAAUUCUUAAGAGGGUAUCCAUCAGGCCGGAAGCCCAAUGACUAAUCCCUCGGGUACUGCAGAGGCACACAAAGUGGGCGACCCUCCCAAGCAAGCAAAUUCCAUUCCCAUCCUCCAGUGAGUAUCGAACCCGGGAGAGAUGGUUAAGGGACACAGACCCUCAUCCAUCUGUGCCAACUUGCGUUGGUACAAUAUGAGUUAUUUUGAAUUGUUUGAUAUUGAAUUGGAAUUUUAGUAUAUUGGAAUGGCUGUGAAAUGGACUUGUGACGGGUUGAAAUUAGUUGAAAUGGG